UACGAAGGGGGCGAGCGUUGUUCGGAAUUACUGGGCGUAAAGGGCGCGUAGGCGGCGACUCAAGUUAGAUGUGAAAGUCCUGGGCUUAACCUGGGGACUGCAUUUGAUACUGGGUUGCUUGAAUUCGGGAGAGGAUAGCGGAAUUCCCAGUGUAGAGGUGAAAUUCGUAGAUAUUGGGAAGAGCACCGGUGGCGAAGGCGGCUAUCUGGACCGACAUUGACGCUGAGGCGCGAAAGCGUGGGGAGCAAACAGG
This 253-nucleotide ribosomal RNA is filed under the name uncultured bacterium. RNAcentral's name for it is "partial 16S ribosomal RNA". It matches the Rfam family "Bacterial small subunit ribosomal RNA", at positions 524 to 776 of the family's 1533-position model. The record is from RNAcentral.